UGGGGAAUAUUGGACAAUGGGCGAAAGCCUGAUCCAGCAAUGCCGCGUGAGUGAUGAAGGCCCUAGGGUUGUAAAGCUCUUUUACCCGGGAUGAUAAUGACAGUACCGGGAGAAUAAGCUCCGGCUAACUUCGUGCCAGCAGCCGCGGUAAUACGAGGGGAGCUAGCGUUGUUCGGAAUUACUGGGCGUAAAGCGCGCGUAGGCGGUUUUUUAAGUCAGAGGUGAAAGCCCGGGGCUCAACCCCGGAAUUGCCUUUGAAACUGGAAAACUAGAAUCUUGGAGAGGUCAGUGGAAUUCCGAGUGUAGAGGUGAAAUUCGUAGAUAUUCGGGAGAACACCAGUGGCGAAGGCGACUGACCGGACAAGUAUUGACGCUGAGGUGCGAAAGCGUGGGGAGCAAACA
RNAcentral lists this ribosomal RNA (402 nucleotides) under uncultured bacterium. RNAcentral's name for it is "bacterial SSU rRNA". It matches the Rfam family "Bacterial small subunit ribosomal RNA", at positions 355 to 774 of the family's 1533-position model. The record is from RNAcentral.